This 253-nucleotide ribosomal RNA is filed under the name uncultured bacterium. RNAcentral describes it as "partial 16S ribosomal RNA". It matches the Rfam family "Bacterial small subunit ribosomal RNA", at positions 524 to 776 of the family's 1533-position model. The record is from RNAcentral.
UACGUAGGUGGCAAGCGUUGUCCGGAAUUAUUGGGCGUAAAGCGCGCGCAGGCGGUCCUUUAAGUCUGAUGUGAAAGCCCACGGCUCAACCGUGGAGGGUCAUUGGAAACUGGGGGACUUGAGUGCAGAAGAGGAAAGCGGAAUUCCACGUGUAGCGGUGAAAUGCGUAGAGAUGUGGAGGAACACCAGUGGCGAAGGCGGCCUGCUGGGCUGUUGCUGACGCUGAGGCGCGACAGCGUGGGGAGCAAACAGG